AUUUUAGAAUAAAAAGCAGAAGAAAAUAGAAUAUAUAUAUAUAUAUAUACACACACAUCUAUAUGUUGCAUGCUUAUCAUCCUAGGUUAGGAAAUCAUACCUCAAUGAAUAGAGCUGAUGCUUCACAUGGUUCCAACUUCUGAACUACCUCUGCAGCUACUUCCUGCAAAAAUCAGAAACCAUUCACAGGGUAUGUAUAUGUUCUUGAAUUUGUAUAUGUUUAUAUGUGUAUAUGUAUAUAUGUAUAUGUGUAUAUAUGUACCCUAGCUUGGGUGAGCUGCACUUGAUUUAGUGUUCUAGGCUCCAGCUCAAUGGGGCACAAGGUGUUUGCCAUAAGUUCUGAAUGAAGAAAGGGUGAUGCAAGAUGUGUUCUCCACUGUGAAAAAUUUGAUGAGAAGCAAUUGCAAUUGCAUUGCAUCAGCUGUUUUAACUUGGGUUGUUCAUUGGUUGACCAAUAUAUAACCAAUGAGAAGCAUGAUAUUUUUCAACACAUUCACGGGGUCUUUGUGUCAUGUGAAGGAGUUUGUGGCCAAUAUUGAGGAGAACAUUUUCCAAAUCCCGUGGUUCAGUUGAGAACAAAGUUACACCUUCUUUACUUGUGACUGCAAUGCUCUUACCAAUCAUUUUAUCAGUCAAGUUCUCUUUUUACAGAGUCUAACAUUAACAAUGGUUGCCAAAAAGAAGCUAAGGAAAGAGGGUUCACAUGCACAUCACCCUUUUGAUCCUCACUUUUCUAGAGAUUUGGUGAUUUAUAGGUUUUCUAUGCCAGGUAGGUCACUUUCUCUGUUCAUUACAUAUUAAGGGCAUUUCAAGAAACAAAAAUGUACUCACAACCUGCAAAUUCCAUUUGAUUAGACUACUCUCCAAGUCUCAUAACACUUAAUGAAUCUUUCAUCUCAC
This 900-nucleotide long non-coding RNA is filed under the name Vigna radiata. RNAcentral describes it as "long non-coding RNA (VRAD_LNC009441)". The record is from RNAcentral. Lineage: Eukaryota; Viridiplantae; Streptophyta; Magnoliopsida; Fabales; Fabaceae.